Molecule: ribosomal RNA, 517 nt
Filed under: uncultured bacterium
Lineage: Bacteria
Description: bacterial SSU rRNA
Rfam family: Bacterial small subunit ribosomal RNA
Source: RNAcentral
AGAGUUUGAUCCUGGCUUAGGAUGAACGCUAGCUACAGGCUUAACACAUGCAAGUCGAGGGGCAGCAUUGGAGUAGCAAUACUCAGAUGGCGACCGGCGCACGGGUGAGUAACACGUAUCCAACCUGCCGCUUACUCGGGGAUAGCCUUUCGAAAGAAAGAUUAAUACCCGAUGGUAUAAAGAGUUCGCAUGUUCUCUUUAUUAAAGAAUUUCGGUAAGCGAUGGGGAUGCGUUCCAUUAGAUUGUUGGCGGGGUAACGGCCCACCAAGUCUACGAUGGAUAGGGGUUCUGAGAGGAAGGUCCCCCACAUUGGAACUGAGACACGGUCCAAACUCCUACGGGAGGCAGCAGUGAGGAAUAUUGGUCAAUGGACGAGAGUCUGAACCAGCCAAGUAGCGUGAAGGAUGACUGCCCUAUGGGUUGUAAACUUCUUUUAUAAGGGAAUAAAGUGAGGGACGUGUCCCUUUUUGUAUGUACCUUAUGAAUAAGGAUCGGCUAACUCCGUGCCAGCAGCUGC